Molecule: ribosomal RNA, 253 nt
Filed under: uncultured bacterium
Lineage: Bacteria
Description: partial 16S ribosomal RNA
Rfam family: Bacterial small subunit ribosomal RNA
Source: RNAcentral
UACGUAGGGGGCAAGCGUUGUCCGGAUUUAUUGGGCGUAAAGAGCGUGUAGGCGGCUUCACAGGUCUGCUGUGAAAACUCGAGGCUCAACCUCGAGCUGUCGGUGGAAACCGUGGGGCUAGAGUCCGGAAGAGGAGAGUGGAAUUCCCGGUGUAGCGGUGAAAUGCGCAGAUAUCGGGAAGAACACCCGUGGCGAAGGCGGCUCUCUGGGACGGUACUGACACUGAGGCACGAAGGCCAGGGGAGCAAACGGG